GAUGAACGCUGGCGGCGUGCCUAAUACAUGCAAGUCGAGCGAACAGACGAGGAGCUUGCUCCUUUGACGUUAGCGGCGGACGGGUGAGUAACACGUGGGUAACCUACCUAUAAGACUGGGAUAACUUCGGGAAACCGGAGCUAAUACCGGAUAAUAUUUCGAACCGCAUGGUUCGAUAGUGAAAGAUGGCUUUGCUAUCACUUAUAGAUGGACCUGCGCCGUAUUAGCUAGUUGGUAAGGUAACGGCUUACCAAGGCAACGAUACGUAGCCGACCUGCGAGGAUGAGCGGCCACACUGGAACGGAGACACGGUACAGAGUCCUACGGGAGGCAGCAGUAGGGCAUCGUGCGCCAGGAGCGAAAGCUAGAGGGAGAAACGCCGAGUGAGUGAUGAAGGUCUUCGGAUCGUAAAACUCUGUUAUUAGGGAAGAACAGUCGUGUAAGUAACUGUGCACGUCUUGACGGUACCUACUCAGAAAGCGACGGCUAACUACGUG
This 497-nucleotide ribosomal RNA is filed under the name uncultured bacterium. Its description in RNAcentral is "partial 16S ribosomal RNA". It matches the Rfam family "Bacterial small subunit ribosomal RNA", at positions 28 to 507 of the family's 1533-position model. The record is from RNAcentral.